GAUGAACGCUGGCGGCGUGCCUAAUACAUGCAAGUCGAGCGGACGAACGAGGCUCUUUCCUCUUUUCCGUUACCGGCGGGCGAGUAAUUCACACGUGGCUACCUUACCUAUAAGACUGAGAUACGUUCGGGAACCCUGAUAUAACAUCCGUUAAGAUGUUGAACCUCGUGGUUCUUCGGACCACACCCUUCUUGCUGACCCUAAUUGAGGUUACCUCGCCGCAUUAGCUAGUUGGUAAGGUAACGGCUUACCAAGGCAACGAUGCGUAGCCGAUCUGAGAGGGUGAUCAGCCACACUGGAACUGAGACACGGUCCAGACUCCUACGGGAGGCAGCAGUAGGGAAUAUUGCGCAAUGGGCGAAAGCCUGACGGAGCAACGCCGCGUGAGUGAAGAAGGUCUUCGGAUCGUAAAGCACUGUAAGUAGGGAGGAACGAAAGUGAAAGAAAACAUGGACGUCUUGACGUUACCAAAAGAAAAAGCAACGGCUAACUACGUG
Molecule: ribosomal RNA, 497 nt
Filed under: uncultured bacterium
Lineage: Bacteria
Description: partial 16S ribosomal RNA
Rfam family: Bacterial small subunit ribosomal RNA
Source: RNAcentral